RNAcentral lists this ribosomal RNA (209 nucleotides) under uncultured bacterium. Its description in RNAcentral is "partial 16S ribosomal RNA". It matches the Rfam family "Bacterial small subunit ribosomal RNA", at positions 524 to 731 of the family's 1533-position model. The record is from RNAcentral.
UACGUAGGGUGCAAGCGUUGUCCGGAAUUAUUGGGCGUAAAGAGCUCGUAGGCGGUUUGUCGCGUCUGCUGUGAAAACCCGAGGCUCAACCUCGGCCUGCAGUCGGUAGGGCGAGACUAGAGUGCGGUAGGGGAGAUUGGAAUUCCUGGUGUAGCGGUGGAAUGCGCAGAUAUCAGGAGGAACACCAGUGGCGAAGGCAGGAAUCUCUG